CCGCUAGGAUCGUUUACUUUGAGGAAAUUAGAGUGUUCAAAGCAGGCGUAACUCGCCUCCGAAUACGUUAGCAUGGGAUAAUGGAAUACGACUUCGGUCUUGUUUCGUUGGUUUCGCUUGGCUGAAGUAAUGAUUGAUAGGGACAGUUGGGGGCAUUAGUAUUUAGUUGUCAGAGGUGAAAUUCUAGGAUUUACUAAAGACUGACCAAUGCGAAAGCAUUUGCCAAGGAUGUUUUCAUUAAUCAAGAACGAAAGUAGGGGGAUCGAAGACGAUCAGAUACCGUCGUAGUCUCUACCGUAAACUAUGCCGACCAGGGAUCCGGAGAGUUUGCAUGGAUGACUCCCCGGGCACCUUGUGAGAAAUCAUAAGUGUUUGGGUUUUGGGGGGAGUAUGGUCGCAAGGCUGAAACUUAAAGGAAUUGACGGAAGGGCACCACCAGGAGUGGAACCUGCGGCUUAAUUUGACUCAACACGGGGAAACUUACGAGGUCAGGACACUGUGAGGAUUGACAGAUUGAAAGCUCUUUCUUGA
RNAcentral lists this ribosomal RNA (531 nucleotides) under Vermamoeba vermiformis. Its description in RNAcentral is "SSU rRNA". It matches the Rfam family "Eukaryotic small subunit ribosomal RNA", at positions 739 to 1265 of the family's 1831-position model. The record is from RNAcentral. Lineage: Eukaryota; Tubulinea; Echinamoebida; Vermamoebidae.